GAAGUUAAUUUUUCGUAAGCGAGUCGAGGAAAUACUGCGAUUCGGCCUCGAUCUCGACAACGGUGUUAAAUCGGUGACCUUUGAGCUGUAUUUUCAUCUUG
Molecule: long non-coding RNA, 101 nt
Organism: Octopus sinensis (East Asian common octopus)
Lineage: Eukaryota; Metazoa; Mollusca; Cephalopoda; Octopoda; Octopodidae
Exons: 3
Source: RefSeq, a predicted model, not a curated record